GAACGCAUAUUGCACUCUCUGGUAUUCCGGAGAGUAUGCCUGUUUGAGGGUCUGUUAAAUAAAAAUCGGGGUUGUUGCUGCUUUUUUUUUGUGUGGUGACGCUUCGGAAUUGGGUUUUUCUUUACCCUUCGGGUUAAGCGACCUAAAAUUUUGCAUGAUUUUUUUCGAACGUAUUUGAAUUUUUUUACGUACGUUUGUGAUAAAUCGAAUAUAUUAGGUGUGGUCAUCCUCAUGAUUUCACGUCUAUAAUUUUUUUAUCAUUUUUAGACCUCAAAUCAGGUAAGAACACCCGCUGAACUUAAG
Molecule: unclassified non-coding RNA, 303 nt
Filed under: Dominikia difficilevidera
Lineage: Eukaryota; Fungi; Glomeromycota; Glomeromycetes; Glomerales; Glomeraceae
Description: sequence contains 5.8S rRNA gene
Rfam family: 5.8S ribosomal RNA (bases 1-53)
Source: RNAcentral